Zea mays is the source of this 1755-nucleotide RNA transcript. It is a transcript of the gene named 60S ribosomal protein L3 pseudogene, with no coding region annotated. The transcript has 7 exons. Lineage: Eukaryota; Viridiplantae; Streptophyta; Magnoliopsida; Poales; Poaceae. The record is from RefSeq and is marked validated.
GAGGUCUCUGUCUUGUUUACAUGCCAUCGUCUAGAAGUUGUCUCGGAAAAAUUUUAAGCGAAUGUUGCAAUGAACAGAGUUCCUUUUGUUGCUGUGAUUUGUCAUUGGUCGAAGAGGACUAACUGCAGCGUUUGUCUACCUACAAUACUUGUUUCUUUGUUGUUGCUGUCUUGUAGUGCCAGCAGCGAUGCCUCCUUGUUCGUGCUCGGCAAGUCGGCCGGUGUGAGCAAAAUCCGUACGUCAUCGUCUCCAGUGGUGCCAUUCUCCGUGGCUCUGCACACGGUCGGGGACUCGGCGGCCUUGCUGGAUCAUUUGUGCCGCCAAACGGGUUUACCUGCUCCGCCUCCGCCCAGCCAGCGCCGCCGCCGCUGCCGCUAGCGCUCCCCUCAGGUAAGGAAGGAGGCAGGCGAGGAUGUCGCACCGUAAAUUCGAGCACCCGAGGCACGGUUCCCUUGGCUUCCUCCCCAGGAAGCGAUCCUCUCCCGCCACCGCGGAAAGGUGAAGUCCUUCCCGAGGGAUGACCCAAAGAAGCCCUGUCACCUCACCGCCUUCCUUGGCUACAAGGCUGGAAUGACACACAUUGUGGUGAGGUCGAGAAGCCUGGCUCCAAGCUCCACAAGAAGGAAACUUGUGAGGCUGUGACUAUCAUUGAGACUCCUCCCCUUGUCAUUGUCGGACUUGUGGAAUGUGAAGACCCCCCGUGGCCUACGAACCCUCAACUCUGUCUGGGCCCAACACCUUAGCGAAGAAGUGCGGAGAAGGUUCUACAAGAACUGGUGCAAGAGCAAGAAGAAGGCUUUCUCCAAGUAUGCCCUCAAAUACGACAGCGACGCAGGCAAGAAAGAAAUCCAGUUGCAGCUUGAGAAAGUAUGCUUCAGUUAUCCGUGUUAUUGCCCACACUCAGAUUAGAAAGAUGAAGGGUUUGAAGCAGAAGAAGGCUCACCUCAUGGAGAUCCAGGUCAACGGUGGCACUAUAGCAGACAAGGUGGACUAUGGUUACAAGUUCUUUGAGGAGGUCCCUGUUGAUGCUGUGUUCCAGAAGGACGAGAUGAUCGACAUCAUCGGAGUUACCAAGGGCAAGGGUUAUGAAGGCGUGGUCACUCGCUGGGGUGUUACCCGGCUUCCCCGCAAGACCCACAGGGGCCUCCGCAAGGUUGCCUGUAUCGGUGCAUGGCAUCCUGCUAGGGUGUCGUACACUGUUGCUCGUGCUGGUCAGAACGGAUACCAUCACCGCACUGAGAUGAACAAGAAGGUUUACAAGAUUGGCAAGGCCGGACAGGAAAGCCAUGACGCCUCAACUGAGUUUGACAGGACCGAGAAGGACAUCACUCCCAUGGGUGGUUUCCCCCACUACGGUAUCAUCAAGGGCGACUACCUGAUGAUCAAGGGUUGCUGCGUCGGCCCCAAGAAAAGGGUGGUGACUCUCCGCCAGUCUCUGCUGAAGCAGACGUCUCGGUUGGCCCUGGAGGAGAUCAAGCUCAAGUUCAUCGACACCUCGUCCAAGUUUGGACAUGGGCGCUUCCAGACCACAGACGAGAAGCAGAGGUUCUUUGGCAAGCUCAAGGCCUGAGUUGCUGAUGGUGUCAAGCGAAAUGGAAAUGUAUUACCAGAUAGUUUUUUGUUUUUCAGAUUCAGCUUUGUUGGAGAUAUCAUAAGAACAUGUUUGAUUUGCUAGUCUGAGUUGAUUCUAUUGCGGGCGGCUGAAGUUAUAUUACCUAAUGAACUCGAAAGUCAGCUUGCUAGUUGCGUGACUUU